AUUGAACGCUGGCGGCAGGCCUAACACAUGCAAGUCGAACGGUAACAGGAAGAAGCUUGCUUCUUUGCUGACGAGUGGCGGACGGGUGAGUAAUGUCUGGGAAACUGCCUGAUGGAGGGGGAUAACUACUGGAAACGGUAGCUAAUACCGCAUAACGUCGCAAGACCAAAGAGGGGGACCUUCGGGCCUCUUGCCAUCGGAUGUGCCCAGAUGGGAUUAGCUAGUAGGUGGGGUAACGGCUCACCUAGGCGACGAUCCCUAGCUGGUCUGAGAGGAUGACCAGCCACACUGGAACUGAGACACGGUCCAGACUCCUACGGGAGGCAGCAGUAGGGAAUCUUCCGCAAUGGGCGAAAGCCUGACGGAGCAACGCCGCGUGAGUGAAGAAGGUCUUCGGAUCGUAAAACUCUGUUAUUAGGGAAGAACAAAUGUGUAAGUAACUAUGCACGUCUUGACGGUACCUAAUCAGAAAGCCACGGCUAACUACGUG
RNAcentral lists this ribosomal RNA (490 nucleotides) under uncultured bacterium. RNAcentral's name for it is "partial 16S ribosomal RNA". It matches the Rfam family "Bacterial small subunit ribosomal RNA", at positions 30 to 507 of the family's 1533-position model. The record is from RNAcentral.